ACGUAGGAGGAAAACGUUAUCCGGAUUUACUGGGCGUAAAGCGCGUGUAGGUGGUUUGGUAAGUAGAGCGUGAAAGCUCCUGGCUCAACUGGGAGAGGUCGUUCUAAACUGCCGGACUAGAGGAUGGUAGAGGGAGGUGGAAUUCCGGGUGUAUCGGUGGAAUGCGCAUAUAUCCGGAGGAACACCAGUAGCUAAAGCGACCACCUGGAACACUCCUGACACUCAGCCGCGUAAGCUAGGGUAGCAAACGG
RNAcentral lists this ribosomal RNA (251 nucleotides) under uncultured prokaryote. RNAcentral's name for it is "partial 16S rRNA". It matches the Rfam family "Bacterial small subunit ribosomal RNA", at positions 525 to 775 of the family's 1533-position model. The record is from RNAcentral.